RNAcentral lists this non-coding RNA (28 nucleotides) under Xenopus tropicalis (tropical clawed frog). The record is from RNAcentral. RNAcentral also lists the same sequence under 7 other names. Lineage: Eukaryota; Metazoa; Chordata; Amphibia; Anura; Pipidae.
UAGCUCAGUCGGUAGAGCAUCAGACUUU